This 633-nucleotide ribosomal RNA is filed under the name uncultured eukaryote. Its description in RNAcentral is "SSU rRNA". It matches the Rfam family "Eukaryotic small subunit ribosomal RNA", at positions 341 to 999 of the family's 1831-position model. The record is from RNAcentral.
CUACCAUGGCAGUCACGGGUAACGGAGAAUUAGGGUUCGAUUCCGGAGAGGGAGCCUGAGAAACGGCUACCACAUCUACGGAAGGCAGCAGGAGCGAAAAUUGCCCAAUCCUGACACGGGGAGGCAGUGACAAGAAAUAACAACUCUAGGUUAUUCUUAGAAGUGUAAUGAGGAUAAUUUACAACCCUUACCGAAAGCAAUUGGAGGGCAAGUCUGGUGCCAGCAGCCGCGGUAAUUCCAGCUCCAAUAGCGUAUAUUAAAGUUGUUGCAGUUAAAAAGCUCGUAGUUGAAGUUCUGGCUGCUCGGUCCUCGAGCUCUGUAGCCGAGGAAUCGACAGUCAUCCGCUUGCAAAUAUAGUUCGCCUUUAACCGGGUGGCUAUAUGAGUAAGCAUUUUACCUUGAGAAAAACAGAGUGUUCCAGGCAGGUUUGUCCGGAAUGCAUUAGCAUGGAAUAAUAGAAUAUGACUGAAGUCUAUUUAUUGGUUUAAGGCUUUAGUAAUGAUUAAUAGGAACAGUCGGGGGCAUUGGUACUUGUCAGUCAGAGGUGAAAUUCUAGGAUUUGACAAAGACUAACAAAUGCGAAAGCAUUUGCCAAGGAUGUUUUCAUUAAUCAAGAACGAAAGUUAGGGGAUC